GUUUUCUGAAUCCACCGCUGGCCUGCUAGGGAAUUUUUCAAGGCCAUCAGUUUGGGGCCUUAUGGUCCAGCAGUGGAGAAGAGGAAGGACUUAGAAACUGUGGCCUGCAGGGGCCUAAGAACCAUAUCUUACGCCACGAUCAGGCCCCUCUGGCUCUUCUCUCAGGAAGGUAACCGCUCAGAAGUCACCAUCAAUCUCCCCACUCCUCACUUGCCCCUGCUUACCCUUUCAGCCAGUGCUCCGGACAGGCUGCCACAUUGACUAGGCACAUGCGUUAUUCAUUUAUCCAUUCAUUCAGUGAGUAUGGAGAGUUAUUUAAUCAUCACCAAUUAUAAUAGCAGCUCUCAUUUUUUGAGCACUUAACUCUCUGUUCGGGUCUGUACACUUUACCUGUCCUGUUUCACUCAGUCCUUACAAGUGCCCACCUCUAUUUUAUAGAUGUGGAAGCUGAGACUUAAAGAAGCUAUGAAACUUGAUCAGGUCAUGCAGCGCCAGAGGACCCAAGGUGGGAUCUCAACCCAGACUGUUUGGCUCCAAAGCUGAACUGCUACAUUACGUUGCUUCAGCAAACAGUCAUUCAGGUAACUUGGUGAGGACGUGCUCAGUUCAAGUAACUAUGCCACAGUCUGGGGAGAGAAAUGAAUAAGGUAUAUUCCUGUACACAAGCCCACUGGGGAAACCUUGAUGAAACCCUUCUACUCGAAAACCUUUCCUCUGCUUGCAACUAGAUGUUUGGAAACAUUGUUUUGUUGUCAAAUUUCACAAAAUAUCUUGUGUUGGAGGAGUCUGUUAGACUUCUCUAAUUUCACCCUUCAGGUGAUGCAGAAGUCUCUACUGCCGACUACCUGCCCUCACACACACAUACACAGAAGGUGGAGCACAUCUAGCUUGGAUUUUAGAGCCAGUCUACGUGAGUCUGUAUCCUGGCUCAACCAUUCACUACUUGUGUGACCUUGGGCAAGUCCUUUGAGCUCUCUGAGUCUCAGUUUCUUCAUCUGUAAAAUAGGCAUAAUUUCACCGUUGUGAGGUUUUUGCAAAUAAGGUAACACACUGCAAAACAUUCAGCACCACUCUGGUGUAUAGUUAAGACCUGAUAAGUGUCAGCCAUUGUCUUUUAUCAUUAGGGAUGGGCAUCUCUUGCCACCCCAGUGAAACAGUUCCUUGUCCUGUCUCUUUCUUUGCUUCUGCCUCCCGGGGCACUCAGCCCAAGGCAAAUGUGCCUGAAGAUGGGGGUUAGUCAUCAGGUUCCCCUGCCUCAGAGGAUGAGAGCAUGACUGCUGCUCUCUGCCCAGUCUCCUAAGAAAUCUGAUUCAUGCCUUGCCAGUACUCUAUGAAUAUGCAUACUUCACCUGCAGCCCUGUCUCCUUUCACAAUGAGCUCAGUCAUUUGUACCUCCUGGGUCAUGUGCAGACAUCCUCAGUAUUACCCACUGAUGGGUGUUGGAGAAACUGCUAAGAAGAUGAGUCUUGAUAGGCAGGUGACAGUGACUUGACUCUCUAGUCCAUGGCUUUGCCUGUUUCGCCAUAUUUCAAAACUGCCAGGGGCUUCUGAAUUGACUGAUGACCCAACAUAGGGUCACAGUAUUUCAUUUGGCUGCUCUUAGACUGAAGUGACAACUUGGGAUAGCCCCAUCUGAAUGGGACCAGUUUGGGAGCCUUUUGUUUCACCCUCUUUCUCUCUCCAGUCUUUGUGGGUUCCCUGAAACGUGUGAGGUGGUUUGGGGAUGUUGAAAGUUAAGCCCCUCAAAGAGAAGACUUAUGCCUUAGAUUAGUGUUAGUGAUUACAAGCUCCGGGUUUUGAGACUGAUCUGGGUUUGAAACCUGGCUCAGCUUUUUGUUAGCUGUGACCCUAAGCUUCAUAACUUGUUUCUCUGAGUCUGUUUCCUUAUCUAUAAAUGGGAUUAAUAAUAGUAUUUAUUUCAUAGGAUGGUCGUAAGGAUUAAAUGCAUGUAAAGCACUUAAUAUAGUGCCUGGCACAAAGUAAGUGCCCCAUAGCUGUUACCAAUAUUAGGCAGCAGGAGAGACAGCACAGGACCAAGGGGCAAGAGAUCAAGGUUUGAGUUCCAGCUCUGCUGCUUGCUGGCUGUGUGACCUCAGGCAAGUCAUCUUCCUUCCCUGAGCCAGUUUCUCCAACUGUGAAAUGAAUGGUUUGAGUUUGAAGGUCACUCAGGUUCUUUCCAACUGUCUGAGAUCUGUGACUUUGAAGGUGACAAAAAAAGAAAACACAGGAAAAAAUAAUUAGUAGCAGAUGCCUUUAUCAGCCAAGAUAACAUUUCAUAAACCCCCGGGCCUCGACACCAUCUUCAAAAGCCACCCCAUCCCGCAGCUUCUAGGCAGAACCUUCUUGACCAGAUAGGGUGAAUGAACUGUUUGCAAGACUUUCUGGAGCCACAAGGAGGCCUCAGGGAAGGUGUAAGGCUAAAAAGCGAAGCCUGCAUCACAAAGGGAGCAGGCCUGAGAAAACCAGCUAACCCCAAACAUCAGACCUGGGGGAUUCUGCCUUUUGGUGCCUUGGGCGAGAAUCAUCCUCCACUUGACCAGAAUGGAUUAGUUUAUGGUAAGGGAGGGAUGUUGUCUCUAGAGCCUGGGGAUGUCCUGAUCUGUUGUAAAACAGGCCCCACCUGGGAAAUAGAACAUUUUCUUUUUUGGGGCCUAGUGACCUCUGACACCCCCACCCCCUUCUUCCUGGCCCACUGUGCAGUCUGAGUCACACCCAGCAGGAGACCAAUGCUGGGAAUGGAGGAGGCAUUCAGCAUCCCCCUUACCCACAAGAGUCUCCACCGAGUUAUUCUUAAGCCCUGCUUGAACCCUGAGGGGGAUGACAUGGGCAGGAUUUACAGAAAAUAAAAAAACAAUCAGUUUCAACUCGUUCUACCAGUUUUUGCCCCUUACAGUACAAAGUCUCUUAACCAAUCUUAAUGUAACAAAUUUCCCUUUACAGAGACAAUGGGCUUUAGAGGAGUUUAGUGAUGUUACUAACAAACAUAAGUACCUUGUACUAACCUCCUGGUGCCCAAGUGUUUGAGGUGAGAAAAACUGAAACAUGAAAAGCCCAGAGAGGUAAAGUGACUGGCUCAAGCAAAUACAGGCUCCAGCUGCAGCCACUUUGAAGAUAAAGUUUCCUCCAUAGAAAUUCUGCAAUACAGAUGUCCUUCCGCGGUCCCAGUUCAGUCCUGCACCAGUUCCUUUUCCCACUGGGAAAUUUCUUUCCUCUUCCUACUUCCAUGCAACUGCGAGGCAAGGCUCAAGCCCACUUCCUUCUCCUUUUCCUGUGCCUCCCUGUGGAGGGAGCUCCCUCUUCUUCACAGCUCCAGGCUCUUCCCUACUCUGGCCCAACCUUAUGGGCAUUUUGCUCCAUAACUCUCCUCGAUCUGAACUGCUUCUGAUUUCUCUCAAGUCAUGUCGGGGAAUCUCACAAAUGCAUUCUGAGAAAUACAAGAAUGCCUGAGAUGUUCCCGGCAGAAAAGAUUCCAGGAUCAAAACAUUUGGGAAAAGCUUCACAUCUCUCCUUAGAAAUGAACAAGGCAUAGUCAUCAAGCAUCUGAAAAGUCCUGCAGUCAGGAAACCUACCUUGUUUGUUUUUUAACCCAGUAUUUCUCAAACUAAGAUGGCCAUGAUUUCAUCUCCUCCAUCCCCACUGACUCCUAUAACAACCUGUAGAACCAGUGAUCCACUGUGGAACACACUUUGGGAAACACUGUCCCCAGCCCUCCAAGAAGGCAUAGAGUUGACCUUGCCUUCAUUGAUUUAAACCCUUCCUGUUUCUCUGGGCUAUUUACUUAUUAUCUCACAUACAAAAUAAUCUAAGGUGAUGUCUGCCCAAUUGGGUUUUUAGGAAAGACAUACCCAAUGGGAAUGAAGAUUUUCUUAGCAGGAUUUGAUGAGCCCAUUACUAGAAAAAAAAUCAAGGAUUUCCCAGACUUUCAGGGUGAGGAGAGAAUUUGAUACAAGCAGCAGAGGCUGGGCGUAGUGACCCAUGCCUAGCACUUUGGUAGGCCAAGGAGGGAGGAUUGCUUGAACCCAGGAAUCCAAGACCAGCCUGGGCAACAUAGUAAGAUCCCAUCUCAAUUUUUUAAAGAAGGAUUUAUCAAACUUGUUUCCUAGUCAACGGAUAAAGCCAGAGAGGUAAUGGCCAGAAACCCAAAAUCUAGAGAGUACCAGAUAAAUACUUUUUGGGUGAAUGAAUGAAUGAGCAGGCUAUUGAUCACAAAGUUGGCAGACAUUGUGAAUGAAUGGAUGAAUUAAUAAACAAUCAAAUAACUGGUCUCCAGGCCUCCAGACUUUCUGAACUUCAUUGUAUCUACCUGCUGUGGCCACAUAUAUAUCUCCUCAAAACCCAGAUCUCAUCAGUCCACUCUUCUGUUCCCUGGCUGGCUCCCUGUUGCCUUCAGGAUAAAGUCUACAUGCCUUUGUCCUGGCAUUGAAAACUCUGCAAAACAAAGCUCCAACCUAGCUUUCCAUCCUUCUUUCUCUUCCCCAUUGGGUACCCCUUACUCUAGUCACACCAGUCCCCAAUUCACUUUAUCCGUCUCCUUUUCUUUCUCAAGCUAUUCUCUAUACCUCACCUUUUCUCCCCUGCCUCCAUUGUUGCUUAUUCAACCCUAGCAGUGCUUUCAGGCUCAGCUCAAACCUUAUCACCCAUGUUAAAUGAAAGAAGCCAGACACAAGAAGGGGACAUUCUGAAUGAUUCCAUUUAUAUGAAGGUUAAGAACAGGCAAAACUAUUGUGGGGAAAAAACAGAACUGUGGUUGCCUUUGGGGAGUGAGGAUUGAUUAGAAGGGGUUUUGGGGGUAUGAAAAUGUUCUUGAUCUUCAUUCCAGUGGUAAUUUCAUGGGUGAAUACAUUUGCCAAAAUUCACUGAAUUGUACACUAAAGAUCUGCAUUUCUCUGUAUUGUCAAUUUAAUCUAAAAAUAAAAAUCUUACCACCCAGAUCUCCCUGGCAAGAAUU
Molecule: long non-coding RNA, 4948 nt
Filed under: Homo sapiens (human)
Lineage: Eukaryota; Metazoa; Chordata; Mammalia; Primates; Hominidae
Description: HSALNT0003289
Source: RNAcentral